GUAUUGGGAAGGCAGAUAAAAUGCCAGGUCUGGACUGCCUCUGGGCAUAACCUCACCCUGUGGGAUGUGAAUGAAUAGCAUCUUGCCUGGUAAAUCCACAGGAAUUGAUAAGGCAGGCGCAGUUCUCCCAAACAGGCCUUUUCUCUUUAAGCUGUAGCUGUGGUUUCUGCAGCAAUUUUGUUUUUGCCUUGAAAGAGGUGCUCUGGAUUAUCAGACCUCCAUGUAUGACAAUUUGUACCUGCAUGGAAUUGAAGACUCGGAGGCUGAAGAAUAAUGUGAUGUGUUACCCAAGAUGGUGUGAACAGAGCUUCAAGCCAAUGGAGAAGACUAGGCCUAAAUAGCUGACCUGGUGAAGUGACACAUAAAGCCACACCUGGAGUGCCACCUCCUCAGCAGUCUUUCUCAGUGCCAAUGCAUUUAUGGCUGGUUCAGCGGAUUCCUACACAAGCAGGCCGUCUGACUCCGAUGUCUCUUUGGAAGAGGACCGGGAAGCAAUUCGACAGGAGAGAGAACAGCAAGCAGCUAUCCAGCUUGAGAGAGCAAAGUCCAAACCUGUAGCAUUUGCCGUGAAGACAAAUGUGAGCUACUGCGGCGCCCUGGAUGAGGAUGUGCCUGUUCCAAGCACAGCUAUCUCCUUUGAUGCUAAAGACUUUCUACAUAUUAAAGAGAAAUAUAACAAUGAUUGGUGGAUAGGAAGGCUGGUGAAAGAGGGCUGUGAAAUUGGCUUCAUUCCAAGUCCACUCAGAUUGGAGAACAUACGGAUUCAGCAAGAACAAAAAAGAGGACGUUUUCACGGAGGGAAAUCAAGUGGAAAUUCUUCUUCAAGUCUUGGAGAAAUGGUAUCUGGGACAUUUCGAGCAACUCCCACGUCAACAGCAAAACAGAAGCAAAAAGUGACGGAGCACAUUCCUCCUUACGAUGUUGUGCCGUCAAUGCGUCCGGUGGUGUUAGUGGGGCCGUCACUGAAAGGUUACGAGGUACAAAUAUCAUCUGUUACUCUUCAGUUCUUGAUCGAGCACCCAGGAGACAGUCAUGUUGACGCUUGCUCCUCAAGGGUCUGUUUCCACGUGGGUCCUGAUGGAAGCCAGUGCUCAGCACGGGAAGGCAGGGGGUACCGUGUGGGGCUCAUGAGGCCCUCUGCCCUUUCUUUCCUCUGUUGCACACUUCUCAUCUUUUAUGUAUUACAUUGUUUAGAAAUACCUCCCUCAAAAUAUUUACAAUGGGAAGAUCUGGUCAAAGAUUUGCUGUACAUUAAAUGCAAAGAAAAGGACUUUAUCUAUCUUGACCAUUCUCAUUAUUAUUAGAAGUAAUAGAGAAUGAACAGCACAAGAGGACAAACAAUCAAUCUUCCAGCAAACCCAAACCUUUAAAGCCCAAACAGAGUUCACCCUGCUGGGUUUUUAAGAUGAUGGCAUAUGCCACCAAAUCCUUCUCUGCUUAUUUAUUUUAAAGGGCACAUGUUUUAAAAGACCACUAAAAACAUUAGUGAACUUUGGAGAUUAAACAAAACCAUGUGACAAGGAAAAGAGUAGAGACUUCGUUUCAGAUGUUUGUUUUGACUUUGUGCUAGCUUGGAUUAAAAAAUAGGUAGACGUGACAUUAAACUCUGAAGGUGAGCAGCCUCCAGGGCACCAUUCCCAUCGAGCUAGGACAAUGUGUGGCACAUAGUAGGCACUCAGUACACAUUUGCUGAAUGAAUUAAUGAAUCGCUUUCAGGCAGAUCUAAGAAUCCUGGCUCUAUCCGCCUCUCUUUCUCUCUUGUCUUUCUCAGAGUUGGGAAUGUCAGAGGGAUGAGCAGGAGAGUGGUCUACAAAAAUCCAGCCAUGGGCAUGGAGAAUUUCUGCCAACAUACACAAACUAGCAGGAAGGCUGAGUCCAGUGCUGGCCUCAGUUCUCUAGCUGCUCCUCACUGGAGGCAGGCACAACUCAGGCGUGCCAAGGAUACCCGGCACCUGUGUACAAAGCCAGCCUGUUGUCUCCUGGCAGCAGUUCUAUCCCCUAACGAGGGAAGAGGGAAGAGGGAAGAGGGUCUGGUGAACACUGCUGGUUUAUUCCUCAACACCCUGGAGGAGAACCAAGGGGGGUGGAAAUUAGCAAUUGCACAUGGUUAAGCAUGAAAAACACCUUCCAUGGUAACCUCCCCCUAGGAGACGAAUGGCUACAAUAAGGUCUUGGCUCAUAGUGCCCUUCCCUCCCUCCUCUCUCCCUUUUGACUUCUCUCUCUCUCUCUCUGUGUGUUUGCCUCAUUCUUUUUUUCUCACCUCUGCAAAGGUAACAGACAUGAUGCAGAAAGCCCUCUUUGAUUUCCUGAAGCACAGGUUUGAUGGGAGGAUAUCAAUAACGAGAGUGACAGCUGACAUUUCUCUUGCUAAGAGGUCUGUCCUAAAUAAUCCCAGCAAGAGAGCAAUAAUUGAACGUUCGAACACCCGGUCCAGCUUAGCGGAAGUACAAAGUGAAAUUGAAAGAAUCUUUGAGUUGGCAAGAUCUUUGCAACUGGUCGUUCUUGAUGCAGACACCAUCAAUCACCCAGCACAACUUAUAAAGACUUCCUUAGCACCAAUUAUUGUUCAUGUAAAAGUCUCAUCUCCAAAGGUUUUACAGCGGUUGAUUAAAUCUAGAGGAAAGUCACAAAGUAAACACUUGAAUGUUCAACUGGUGGCAGCUGAUAAACUUGCACAAUGCCCCCCAGAAAUGUUUGAUGUUAUAUUGGAUGAAAAUCAGCUUGAGGAUGCGUGUGAACAUCUAGGGGAGUACCUGGAGGCGUACUGGCGUGCCACCCACACAACCAGUAGCACACCCAUGACCCCGCUGCUGGGAAGGAAUUUGGGCUCCACGGCACUCUCACCAUAUCCCACAGCAAUUUCUGGGUUACAGAGUCAGCGAAUGAGGCACAGCAACCACUCCACAGAGAACUCUCCAAUUGAAAGACGAAGUCUAAUGACCUCUGAUGAAAAUUAUCACAAUGAAAGGGCUCGGAAGAGUAGGAACCGCUUGUCUUCCAGUUCUCAGCAUAGCCGAGAUCAUUACCCUCUUGUGGAAGAAGAUUACCCUGACUCAUACCAGGACACUUACAAACCCCAUAGGAACCGAGGAUCACCUGGGGGAUAUAGCCAUGACUCCCGACAUAGGCUUUGAGUCUAAUGAAACAAAAAAUAUUCAUCUGUUGACAAUUUGCCAUAGCAGUGCUAGGAUAAACCAAUCAUCUUAACUUGGCUAACAUAGCACAGUAUUUACUGUGCUAAUGGGCUGCUGUCAUUUUAUGCUAAGUAAGGGGCAAAAAAAAAAUUACAUUAUGCCCUUGAGUCUAGAUGGAUAUUAGAUGCCCGAUCAUAUAGAUAUUUUUAAGUGCAACAUUUACAUGAUAACAGUACAUUUUGUUUUCUUCAUAGAUUUAGACACAUCAAUUUGUAAUUUAGGGUACUUACAAGGCACAUAUAAAAUAAUUUCCCAUGCCGGAAAUUCCAAAUGACCAGUUCCAGUUGGAACCAAUUUAUAAACCAAUUCCUGUUGGAAUUUGGGUGAAUUGACUAGAAAGUCUACUUGAGCA
RNAcentral lists this small RNA (3547 nucleotides) under Pan troglodytes (chimpanzee). RNAcentral's name for it is "retained intron". The record is from RNAcentral. Lineage: Eukaryota; Metazoa; Chordata; Mammalia; Primates; Hominidae.